AGCAUGGUGGCUCAGUGGUUAGAGCGCCCGCCUCAUGCCCGGAAGGUCGUGGGUUCGAACCCCGGCCGAGUCA
Strongylocentrotus purpuratus (purple sea urchin) is the source of this 73-nucleotide non-coding RNA. NCBI's taxonomy places the organism in Eukaryota, Metazoa, Echinodermata, Echinoidea, Camarodonta, Strongylocentrotidae. The record is from Rfam.